Molecule: ribosomal RNA, 253 nt
Filed under: uncultured bacterium
Lineage: Bacteria
Description: partial 16S ribosomal RNA
Rfam family: Bacterial small subunit ribosomal RNA
Source: RNAcentral
UACGAAGGGGACUAGCGUUGUUCGGAUUUACUGGGCGUAAAGCGCGCGUAGGCGGAUCGCUAAGUCAGGGGUGAAAUGCCGAGGCUCAACCUCGGAACUGCCUUUGAUACUGACGAUCUGGAGAUUGGGAGAGGUGAGUGGAAUUCCGCGUGUAGAGGUGAAAUUCGUAGAUAUUCGGAGGAACACCAGAAGCGAAGGCGGCUCACUGGCCCAAUACUGACGCUGAGGCGCGAAAGCGUGGGGAGCAAACAGG